Molecule: non-coding RNA, 2356 nt
Organism: Manis javanica (Malayan pangolin)
Lineage: Eukaryota; Metazoa; Chordata; Mammalia; Pholidota; Manidae
Source: RefSeq, a predicted model, not a curated record
GUACCCUGGGCCGUGAAAAUGUGUCAUGGGAUUUUUAAUCUCCUUUGAGUCCAGGGAAGGUUUCUUUGCAGAAAUGAUGCCCCGGCUGAGAUCCAAAGGAGAUGAGGGAGCAUCACCGAGAUAUAAACACAAUCUGAGAUGAGGAGAAUCACUCCCCACCGCUGAGGUGGAAGUGACUAGACGUGGUUCGGUAAGUUUCCGUGGAGAGAGAGCUUGCAGCGUGAAGGCAAACGAGGACAGAAGAGCUUGAACUGAGAGCAUAAUCUGGAAGCAGACUGAGCGGGUGGCCUGACCUCGCUGCACCAGGCUUCCACCCCCAGGCUCACCCGCCAUGCGUGUGCCCCUCGCACCGGCAUGGUCCCUCAAGAAGAGCAGACGGCGGUCCCUGGAGCCACCUGGAGUGUCAGUGUCUCAUGUAUUCCUCACAACACCUUCAUGGGCGUCUCUGGGGCAACCCGCUUCUUCCAGUCUAGUAACACCCAGUCCGUGUCUGCAGGAAGUCCAGCUGGCGGAGACGCUCCUGCCCUCAGAGGAGAGGAACCCUGUGAUUAUAUUGGAGCCACCUCAAAUCCAGGAUAAUCUUCCCAUCUCAAGAUGCUUCCCAUCGGCAAAGGUUUUGUGCCAUAUAAAGUAACAUUAUAGGUUCUGGAUAUUAGGAUAUAGAUGUAUUCAGGGGCCCAUGAUUCAUUACCACACUGACAGGAACAAGAAAAGGAUAAAAAUAUAUAGGAUCUCCCUGAAGUAUUUGGAACUUUUUUCCACAGGGCAUCUCAGAAUACCUCCUCCUUCCUCUUGAAGAUACCACUUGAGGAAACUGGGCCUUGCCCUGUUAUGAGGCAUUUCUGUUGCUAAUCUGCAGUUACUGGGUAAACGGAUAUCCCACUGCCUACCGUAGGAUUCCAAAUUCCUGCAUAUUCAGUUCAGCCACUUUCUUUGCUUGGAGGCCUCCUACUUUCCUAAUCUGUAAAAUAGAGACAACAUCUGUCUGUCAGGGCUGAACUGAUGCUCAAACUAUGAGAUGAUUGUGAACACGUCUAUGCAGUCAUUAGCCUUAACUUCUCAAUAAACAGUACCUGCUUUCAUUGCCUGGCAGCCUGUGCCAGAAGAGGGAGAAACUACAUCCAUCCUAUGCAGGAUUGGCUGUCAUGGCAGACGAUGCUCUUUGCUGAUGGAGACGUCACCCUGAUACCCAGAUCCCCACUUUCCCCCCUCUACCUUGCCCUCUUCAGUGUUAGGCAUGCAGCAUGCCCUGUCCUGUCUAUACGUGCCCUGUUGUCCUCUAAUAUGUGGGAGUCCCUGGGGGAGGUGGGCAGAACUGAUCACCACUCAGUAGUUGGAUGGCUUUGGGACUGUUCCUGGUUUUUUCAAGUCUUGCAUUUCCCCACAUGCAAACAUGAGGUAGAUUAGGGGCCUGUGGCCUCUCCCUACCAAAUCUGAAACCCUUGAGUCAGUCUGUGACUCACCCUUCCUCACCAUUUUACUCAGCAAAGGCUUAGGACCCCAGGAGUACUAAAGAAACAUUUGAUGAGUAAAACAUUAGCACCCCUUUUUGUGCAAUCUUUUCUUAUUUUGCAUUCUAAUGGGCUGUUUAAACUAAAAUACCUUUCGAAAACCAAAAGAAGAAAAUGGCAAAUUACUCAGACUCCAGAAGGGACCACUGAGACAUAUUUAGAUUAUUGGGCCUUUCCAGGGACUCGAAUCCCCUACACAAAGCCGAUGCUGCAGAAAUAAAAAUGCCACCAGUGAGUCCUGUGUCACAGAAUCGCAGGUUGCAAACCCACUGGGAAGCUUUGGUCCCCCAAACCUACAAAACCCUUUAGCAGCCCCUGAUCUUUCCAAGGAUUGAAGAAAGAUCUAUUUUGUGAGAGGAGGAUGACCAAAAAAAGGGUUCAGUCCUAAAAGAUUCAUUCCCACUACUGUGUCUUCUCUUGAAUCUGGGGUGAUUCCUGCCAUUAAUAUUUUAAGCAACUAAUUUGACAUUUUUCCAUUUAAUUAACUUGCAUACACAUAUGACAACAGGGUUUUGAGAGUACCAUGCAUGACAUUUAAACAAAGUCAUUUAAGCUUUUCCAUUUCUGCUUUUUUUUCUUGGCCUUUUUUCUUGUUGUUCCAUUUCUGUUUUGCAUUCCUGACACUGAAGCUGGCUUAUUAGCUCAGAGAAAUGACCAAAUUUCCCAAAGCAAAUGUGCCACAGCCUCAACCUAGGUGACGUGGGUGGGCCCGGAGCUCUGGGCUACAGCUCUUUUAAAGUUGAUCCUGCUCUUUUUUCCAUUUUUAACAAAUGGCGCUCCGAUCACAGCAGGCCCGCGUCACAGGCUGAAGCUUCCUGUUGCCAUGCCAACCCCCCCCCCCCGUG